This 665-nucleotide unclassified non-coding RNA is filed under the name uncultured marine bacterium. Its description in RNAcentral is "partial contains 16S ribosomal RNA, 16S-23S ribosomal RNA intergenic spacer, and 23S ribosomal RNA". The stretch from base 1 to 129 matches the Rfam family "Bacterial small subunit ribosomal RNA", at positions 1405 to 1533 of the family's 1533-position model. The record is from RNAcentral.
UGGGAGUUGGUUUUACCUGAAGCUAGUUCGCUAACCGCAAGGAGGCAGCUAACCACGGUAAGAUUAGCGACUGGGGUGAAGUCGUAACAAGGUAACCGUAGGGGAACCUGCGGUUGGAUCACCUCCUUUCUAAGAGUUGUUGGUGAGUUUUAUUUACAAAAUUUAUCAACUUUUUAACUUAGUAAUUUUACAGCUUACCGUCCUCGUUUCUCUUUCAAUUUGUUUAAAACUAUGAAGCCUAUCGUAUAUAUCCGGGCUUGUAGCUCAGUCUGGUUAGAGCGCACCCCUGAUAAGGGUGAGGUCGGUAGUUCGAGUCUACCCAGGCCCACCAAAAUUACGGUGGUUUUCUUAAGGGGCUUUAGCUCAGCUGGGAGAGCACCUGCUUUGCAAGCAGGGGGUCACCGGUUCGAUCCCGGUAAGCUCCACCAAGUUUUAAGCUUUUCCAUUUACAUCGUGAAGUGACAUCAAUACUAAAAAUAAAAUUUUUUAGAGAAUUCAAUUAAUUAAUAAAGUGCAAAAACAAAAGCAAAAGUUUGUUUUUUGUACAUAGAAUAUCAAGCGUUUAAGAGCAUUUGAUGGAUGCCUUGGCACACAGAGGCGAUGAAGGACGUAGUACGUUGCGAUAAGCUUCGGGGAGUUACGAACAAACUUUGAUCCGAAGAUUU